This is an RNA transcript of Eucalyptus grandis, 1338 nucleotides long. RefSeq lists it as uncharacterized. The transcript has 2 exons. The record is from RefSeq and is a predicted model, not a curated record. NCBI's taxonomy places the organism in Eukaryota, Viridiplantae, Streptophyta, Magnoliopsida, Myrtales, Myrtaceae.
UUCGUUAGCCCUCUCAGUAUAAAACUAGGGGAAGGCCAAUACUUUCUGCACAACCAGAAAUAGCACUCAAAUUCAACAAAAAGCAAGUUCGCUCUUCCGUUGAGGAUUUCUUUGAGUUGAACAAAAUGAUUAGCACAAGGAAGCUGAUUCAAAUGGCAAGGAAGUGGCAGAAGAUGGCUGCAAUUGGAAGAAAAAGAAUUUCGUUUCAUCGGACGAAUAGCAAGUCCGCUUCAGCACAUGCAAAUAGAUCAGCGGUCGCUCAGAGGGGUCACUUUGUUGUCUAUACAACAGAUGAGAGACGCUUUGUGAUCCCUCUCUCGUUUCUCAGCAACGACAUAGUGAGGGAGCUCUUUAGAGCAUCAGAAGAAGAGUUUGGGAUUACAUGUGAUGGUCCAAUCAUGCUUCCAAUUGAUGCGCCAUCUACGGAGUACAUAAUUUCAUUAAUUAGAAGAGGCUUGGCUAAGGACCAAGAGAAUGCUAUGCUUCUGUCGUUCGCCAGACAAAGAUGCUCAUCAUCCUUGGCUUUCAAUCAAGCGUUAGAAAAUCCAGAAAUUCUUGUUUGUAGCUGACAGAUAUAGCACAUACCUGUACUUAUGGGAUUAAUGAAAGUAGAUUUGCCACGAUACAUACGCUAUUCUAGUCCAUUUUUACUUUGCUUAGAUCAUCAUUGCAUUUUGUGAUGGUUGGUUUUGACUCAGAUCAUCAUGUCCUGCACUUCGGAUCCGUGCAACCGAAGAGUACACAGGCUAGAUUUUACGGUGAAGCCGACUUGAUACAGGGAGCAAGAAACGAUGAUCAGCCCCAAGAAACUACUUAGGAUGACAAGGAAGUGGCAGAAAUUGGAUGCCGCGGGAAGGAGAAGGCUUUCUUUGCUGAAAACCGAAGGGAAGUUUCUCCCCACAUCUUCACUGGCAGAUAAGGGACAUUUCGUUGUCUACACCAUGGAUGAACAUCGCUUCAUGAUACCCUUGUCAUAUCUUCGCAGCGACGUCUUCCAAAUGCUAUUUGAGAUGCCUGAAGACGAGUUUGGACUAUCAAGUGACGGUCCCAUCAUCAUGCCUUGUGAUGCAGCUGUCAUGGAGUACAUGGUGUCCCUAGUCCAACAAGACGUGGCUAAAGAACUGGAGAAAGCUUUGCUUAAUUCAAUUCUUUGUUGAGGGUGCUCAUAGAUGGCUUCUAUUAUCAAAGUCUGAUUCCAAGUUCUUGUUUGUAGUUAAUGAUAGCACCAACUCUAACGUGUUAUUAGGCCACACCACACAGAUGAAGGAUGUAAAUAUACUCAGCUUAUGAUUCUCAAUUGUGAAGUCUAUAAAAUCCUAGAUAGUAUAUUUUUUCCAA